GAUGAACGCUGGCGGCGUGCCUAAUACAUGCAAGUCGAGCGAACAGACGAGGAGCUUGCUCCUCUGACGUUAGCGGCGGACGGGUGAGUAACACGUGGAUAACCUACCUCUAAGACUGGGAUACCUUCGGGAAACCGGAGCUAAUACCGGAUAAUAUAUUGAACCGCAUGGUUCAAUAGUGAAAGACGGUUUUGCUGUCACUUAUAGAUGGAUUCGCGCCGCAUUAGCUAGUUGGUAAGGUAACGGCUUACCAAGGCAACGAUGCGUAGCCGACCUGAGAGGGUGAUCGGCCACACUGGAACUGAGACACGGUCCAGACUCCUACGGGAGGCAGCAGUAGGGAAUCUUCCGCAAUGGGCGAAAGCCUGACGGAGCAACGCCGCGUGAGUGAUGAAGGUCUUCGGAUCGGAAAACUCUGUUAUUAGGGAAGAACAAAUGUGUAAGUAACUAUGCACGUCUUGACGGUACCUAAUCAGAAAGCCACGGCUAACUACGUG
This 497-nucleotide ribosomal RNA is filed under the name uncultured bacterium. RNAcentral describes it as "partial 16S ribosomal RNA". It matches the Rfam family "Bacterial small subunit ribosomal RNA", at positions 28 to 507 of the family's 1533-position model. The record is from RNAcentral.